This 387-nucleotide ribosomal RNA is filed under the name uncultured bacterium. Its description in RNAcentral is "bacterial SSU rRNA". It matches the Rfam family "Bacterial small subunit ribosomal RNA", at positions 355 to 759 of the family's 1533-position model. The record is from RNAcentral.
UAGGGAAUAUUAGUAAUGGGCGAAAGCCUGAACUAGCAACGCCGCGUGUGCGAAGAAGGCCUUCGGGUUGUAAAGCACUUUUUGAGAGGAUGAGGAAGGACGGUACUCUCAGAAUAAGUCUCGGCUAACUACGUGCCAGCAGCCGCGGUAACACGUAGGAGGCGAACGUUAUCCGGAUUUACUGGGCGUAAAGCGCGUGUAGGUGGUUUGGUAAGUAGGGCGUGAAAGCUCCUGGCUCAACUGGGAGAGGCCGUUCUAAACUGCCGAACUAGAGGAUGGUAGAGGGGGGUGGAAUUCCGGGUGUAGCGGUGGAAUGCGCAGAUAUCCGGAGGAACACCAGUGGCGAAAGCGGCCUCCUGGACCAUUCCUGACACUCAGACGCGAAAG